AAAAAAAAUUAUGUAUUAAUGAAGUCUCAAACAAUAAUUAAGAAUAUUCAUCAUAAUCAUUGAACAACAAUAUAAGCAAAGUAUGUGUAGUAGAAACUAUGACAAUUUGUUUCACCCAAAUUAUUACAAUGGAAAGUGACUAGUCAUCAAUCAUCAUCAUCAGUGCUAAGUACUUCAAUUUAGUUUUUGUAAAUCUCCAUGUCUGGAGAGAUACCUGUUUGAAAUAUUUGUUAUAACUAUAUAACUUGUCCUAGGUUAUAGUCAUUUCUUAUUUAAAAAUAAAAUGUAGAAAAGUCUAUUCUCUUUUAGGGCAAGAUUAAAGUAAGUGACCAAUGUUCUAUUUUUUCCCAACCAUUGGAAAGAAAAAGGUAUUUCUCAAUUCAUUAUCUCAACAAGCACAACUCUGAAGCUCUACAUGUCACUCUUUUUUGUAAACAUGUUUGAUUGAAAGUAGUCAGAUCAACAUAUCUUACAGUACCUAUAACCGCAGUUGUCAUGUGAGUUUGAUCAACGUGUAUCGACCAUGAGGUUCCGAAAUCCAAAACAUUAGCUCGGUAAUACUCAUCAAACAAGAUGUUUGAUGAUUGGACAUCUCUAUGAUAAAUCGGAGAUGCUGCAACAAAAUGGAGGUAUGACAAAGCUCCAGCUGUAUAUAUGACAAUAUGUAGACGUAACUCCCAUGUAAUCAAUGUGUGAUCAACCUCUUCAUGAAAAAGUUGAGAAAGAUUGUCGUUUGGGAUGAAUUCAUAAACAAGUAGAGGUACCUCUAUUUCAAGACAACAUCCUAAUAUAUUCAUGAUGUUGCGGUGGUUGAUCAGCGAGAGUAUGAAAACUUCAUUUAUGAACUCUUCGAUCUUAUUUUGUAAUUUUGAUACAUAGGCUUAGAUUUUUUUACCGCUACAAUUCUACCACCAUGAGGCAUUCUUUUGAAUAAUUCACUAUAAGAAAAAGGUUAAUUCCAACCGCCAUAUUAGUUGGUAAUUUGUAGGAAUUAUA
RNAcentral lists this small RNA (996 nucleotides) under Arabidopsis thaliana (thale cress). RNAcentral's name for it is "ATSL032190". The record is from RNAcentral. Lineage: Eukaryota; Viridiplantae; Streptophyta; Magnoliopsida; Brassicales; Brassicaceae.